CAACGCCGCGUGGAGGAUGAAAUCCCUUGGGAUGUAAACUCCUUUCGAUAGGGAAGAUAAUGACCGGUACCCUACUAGAAGAAGCCCGGCUAACUUCGUGC
This 101-nucleotide ribosomal RNA is filed under the name uncultured bacterium. RNAcentral's name for it is "partial 16S ribosomal RNA". The record is from RNAcentral.